UACGUAGGGGGCAAGCGUUGUCCGGAAUUAUUGGGCGUAAAGAGCGUGUAGGCGGUCCGGUAAGUCCGUUGUGAAAGUCAGGGGCUCAACCCUUGAAUGCCGGCGGAUACUGUCGGGCUAGAGUCCGGAAGAGGCGAGUGGAAUUCCCGGUGUAGCGGUGAAAUGCGCAGAUAUCGGGAGGAACACCUAUGGCGAAGGCAGCUCGCUGGGACGGCACUGACGCUGAGACGCGAAAGCGUGGGGAGCAAACAGG
RNAcentral lists this ribosomal RNA (253 nucleotides) under uncultured bacterium. RNAcentral describes it as "partial 16S ribosomal RNA". It matches the Rfam family "Bacterial small subunit ribosomal RNA", at positions 524 to 776 of the family's 1533-position model. The record is from RNAcentral.